ACGGGGACCCGGCACAAGCAGCGGAGCGUGUGGUUUUAAUUCGUUGCUACACGAAGAACCUUACCUGGGUUUGACAUAUAGGUUGUAGGGAACUGAAAAGGGACGACCCUUCGGGAGCCUAUACAGGUGUUGCAUGGCUGUCGUCAGCUCGUGUCGUGAGAUGUUCGGUUAAGUCCGCUAACGAGCGCAACCCUCGUCGUGUGUUACAAGUGUCACACGGUACUGCCGGUCUUAAGCCGGAGGAAGGUGGGGAUGACGUCAAGUCAGCAUGGCCUUUAUGUCCUGGGCUACACACACGCUACAAUGGCCAACACAAUAGGUUGCUAAGCCGCGAGGUGGAGCCAAUCCUCAAAGUUGGUCUCAGUUCAGAUUGCAGGCUGCCAACCGCCUGCAUGAAGAUGGAGUUGCUAGUAACCGCCAGGUCAGACUAUAACUGCGGUGAAUACGUUCCCGGGGCUU
RNAcentral lists this ribosomal RNA (459 nucleotides) under uncultured Leptolinea sp. RNAcentral's name for it is "bacterial SSU rRNA". It matches the Rfam family "Bacterial small subunit ribosomal RNA", at positions 913 to 1382 of the family's 1533-position model. Lineage: Bacteria; Bacillati; Chloroflexota; Anaerolineae; Anaerolineales; Anaerolineaceae. The record is from RNAcentral.